RNAcentral lists this ribosomal RNA (307 nucleotides) under Rheinheimera texasensis. RNAcentral describes it as "bacterial SSU rRNA". It matches the Rfam family "Bacterial small subunit ribosomal RNA", at positions 1046 to 1352 of the family's 1533-position model. The record is from RNAcentral. Lineage: Bacteria; Pseudomonadati; Pseudomonadota; Gammaproteobacteria; Chromatiales; Chromatiaceae.
UGGCUGUCGUCAGCUCGUGUUGUGAAAUGUUGGGUUAAGUCCCGCAACGAGCGCAACCCUUAUCCUUAGUUGCCAGCGAGUUAUGUCGGGAACUCUAGGGAGACUGCCGGUGAUAAACCGGAGGAAGGUGGGGACGACGUCAAGUCAUCAUGGCCCUUACGAGUAGGGCUACACACGUGCUACAAUGGUAUGUACAGAGGGAGGCAAGCUGGCGACAGUGAGCGGAUCUCUUAAAGCAUAUCGUAGUCCGGAUCGCAGUCUGCAACUCGACUGCGUGAAGUCGGAAUCGCUAGUAAUCGCAAAUCAG